AUGCUCUUGCAAUCAGACGGAUGCAGGCAGCACCCUUCUGCAGAAGUAAAUGUGCCUUGCUGAGAAAUGUUCUGUCUAAGUGCUGGCUUUUCUUUGAGGCACUGAGCACUUGUUUCUAACAAAAUGGGGGCACAUCUGGGAUCCCAUUCUCCUCCGGAGAAGGGUCUCCAAUCAUCUCUUGUGAGGAGACGUGUCUCACUGCAGCAGCCUCAAGAAUGAGGGAUUGAGACCCACCAGCAUGAUGAAUAUACCGAGACUCUCAGCAACAUGGAAGGAAAAGGCCUACAGAUGCCAUGGUGACCAAGUAAUUCUGUGCACAGACCAAGCAUGGGCAAAAGGGCAAGACCCUGUAUGCCCAAGAAGAAAGUGGAGAAAGAGAAGAGCAACAAGGAAAGGGAAGGUGCCUUAGCUCAACAGGCUGCUGGCGGACAUGGAGAGGAAGCCCCAGAGAAGCAUGUGGCGGACAAGCAAUGAGAAGCAUGCUGUGCAGCCUCAGGAAGCCCACAGCAGGCACUACUGAUGCAGGAGAGGCCAUGAGCCAGGUGGGAGAUAAGAAAGGAAAGUAUCAGACAACCUGGGGCUGGAACACAAUGCACAGCUCUUAGAAUAAGAUCAUCCUCACAUCUGUUU
This 630-nucleotide long non-coding RNA is filed under the name Homo sapiens (human). RNAcentral describes it as "HSALNT0299248". Lineage: Eukaryota; Metazoa; Chordata; Mammalia; Primates; Hominidae. The record is from RNAcentral.